Molecule: ribosomal RNA, 534 nt
Filed under: Arsenophonus endosymbiont of Bemisia tabaci
Lineage: Bacteria; Pseudomonadati; Pseudomonadota; Gammaproteobacteria; Enterobacterales; Morganellaceae
Description: partial 23S ribosomal RNA
Rfam family: Bacterial large subunit ribosomal RNA
Source: RNAcentral
CGAGGCGAACCGGGGAAACUGAAACAUCUCAGUACCCCGAGAAAAAGAAAUCAACCGAGAUUCCCCCAGUAGCGGCGAGCGAACGGGGAGCAGCCCAGAGUCAACAUCAAUAUUUACCACAGGAGAAGGGUCUGGAAAGGCCGGCAAUAAAGGGUGAUAGCCCCGUAUCUAAAGCGGUAAGUGUUGUGAACUCGAAGAGUAGGGCGGGACACGUGUUAUCCUGUCUGAAUAUGGGGGGACCAUCCUCCAAGGCUAAAUACUCCUGACUGACCGAUAGUGAACCAGUACCGUGAGGGAAAGGCGAAAAGAACCCCGGCGAGGGGAGUGAAAUAGAACCUAAAACCGUGUACGUACAAGCAGUAGGAGCACCCGAAAGGGUGUGACUGCGUACCUUUUGUAUAAUGAGUCAGCGACUUAUAUUCUGUAGCAAGGUUAACCGCAUAGGAGAGCCGUGGGGAAACCGAGUCUUAACUGGGCGUUAAGUUGCAGGGUAUAGACCCGAAACCCGGUGAUCUAGCCAUAAGCAGGUUGAAG